This 119-nucleotide ribosomal RNA is filed under the name Anneissia japonica. Lineage: Eukaryota; Metazoa; Echinodermata; Crinoidea; Comatulida; Comatulidae. The record is from RNAcentral.
GUCUACGGCCAUACUUCUUUGAAAAAACCGGUUCUCGUCCGAUCACCGAAUUUAAGCAACGUCGAGCCCGGUUAGUACUUGGAUGGGUGACCGCCUGGGAAUACCGUGUGCUGUAGACU